CUACGGGUUGCACCAGUUAGGAAUAUUCUACAAUGCGCGCAAGCGUGAUAGAUUGAGCCAGGGUGUUUUUCAAAUGAAAAGCUUUUGUGAAAUGUAAAAAGUUUCACGAAUAAGGACUGGGUAAGACUAGUGCCAGCCGCCGCGGUAAUACUAGCGGUCCAAGUCGCAGCCAUUUUUAUUGGGUCUAAAACAUCCGUAGCUUGCUUAAUAAGUUCCUUGUGAAAUUUUAUCUCCCAAAGAUAGAGCGUGCAAGAAAUACUGUUAAGCUAGAGACUGGAAGACGUAACGAGUACGUUCGGAGUAGCGGUAAAAUGUGUUAAUCCUGGACGGACUAACAAUAGCGAAGGCACGUUACGAGGACAGUUCUGACAGUAAGGGAUGAGGGCUAGGGGCGCAAAACGGAUUAGAUACCCCUGUAGUC
RNAcentral lists this ribosomal RNA (421 nucleotides) under uncultured archaeon. Its description in RNAcentral is "partial 16S ribosomal RNA". It matches the Rfam family "Archaeal small subunit ribosomal RNA", at positions 323 to 746 of the family's 1478-position model. The record is from RNAcentral.